This 253-nucleotide ribosomal RNA is filed under the name uncultured bacterium. Its description in RNAcentral is "partial 16S ribosomal RNA". It matches the Rfam family "Bacterial small subunit ribosomal RNA", at positions 524 to 776 of the family's 1533-position model. The record is from RNAcentral.
UACAGAGGGUGCGAGCGUUAAUCGGAAUUACUGGGCGUAAAGCGUGCGUAGACGGUUAUUUAAGUCGGAUGUGAAAGCCCCGGGCUCAACCUGGGAAUUGCAGUGGAUACUGGGGAGCUAGAGUGCGGUAGAGGGUAGUGGAAUUCCCGGUGUAGCGGUGAAAUGCGUAGAGAUCGGGAAGAACACCAGUGGCGAAGGCGGCUACCUGGACCAGCACUGACACUGAGUCACGAAAGCGUGGGGAGCAAACAGG